GAGCUGUUGGCCGAGGUUGGAGUAGCCAGGAGGAAGGCAUGGCCAGUCGUUGAGAAAUGCUUGUUGAAGUUUUCGAUUAUCAUGGAUUUAUCAGUGGUGACCGUGUUACCUAGCCUUAGUGCAGUGGGCAGCUGGGAGGAGGUGCUCUUGUUCUAAAUGGACUUUACAGUGUCCCAGAACUUUUUGGAGUUAGAGCUUUCCUGACUGACUGCGUGUAUUGGUUCCUGACCUCCCUGAACAGUUGCAUAUCGCGGGGACUAUUUGAUGCUAUUGCAGUCCGCCACAGGAUAUUUUUGUGCUGGUCGAGGGCAGUCAGGUCUGGAGUGAACCAAGGGCUAUAUCUGUUCUUAGUUCUGCAUUUUUUGAACAGAGCAUGGUUAUCUAAGAUGGUGAGGAAGUUACUUUUAAAGAAUGACCAGGCAUCCUCAACUGACGGGAUGAGGUCAAUAUCCUUCCAGGAUACCCAGGCCAGGUCGAUUAGAAAGGCCUGCUCGCAGAAGUGUUUUAGGGAGCGUUUGACAGUGAUGAGGGGUGGUCGUUUGACUGCGGACAAGGACAUCAGGGUUGGCAGAGUGUGCUAAAGCAGUGAGUAAAACAAACUUAGGGAGGAGGCUUCUGAUGUUGACAUGCAUGAAACCAAGGCUUUUUCGAUCACAGAAGUCAACAAAUGAGGGUGCCUGGGGACAUGCAGGGCCUGGGUUUACCUCCACAUCACCCGAGGAACAAAGGAGGAGUAGUAUGAGGGUGCUGCUAAAGGCUAUCAAAACUGGUCGCCUAGAGUGUUGGGGACAAAGAAUAAAAGGAGUAGACUUCUGGGCAUGGUAGAAUAUAUUUAGGGCAUAAUGCGCAGACAGGUGUAUGGUGGGGUGCGGGUACAUUGGAGGUAAGCCCAGGCACUGGGUGAUGAUAAGAGAGGUUGUAUCUCUGGACAUGCUGGUUGUAAUGGGUGAGGUCACCGCAUGUGUGGGAGGUGGUACAAAGGAGGUAUCAGAGGUAUGAAGAGUGGAACUAGGGGCUCCAUUGUAAACUAAAACAAUGGACAUUAAUAUGGGGUUAGUCCCCCCUUUGCUGCUAUAACAGCCUCCAUUCUUCUGGCAAGGCUUUCCACUACAUGGUGGAAUAUUGCUGCGGGAACGCUUCCAUUCAGCCACAAGAGCCUUAGUGAUGUCGGGCGAUUAGGCCAGGCUCGCAGUCGGCGUUCCAAUUCAUCCCAAAGAUGUUCAAUGGGGUUGAGGUCAGGGCUCUGUGCAGGCCAGUCAAGUUCUUCCACAAUGAUCUCGACAAACCAUUUCUGUAUGGACCUCACUUUGUGCACACGGGCAUUGUCAUGCUGAAACUGGAAAGGGCAUUUCCUAAACUGUUGCCACAAAGUUGCAAGCACAGAAUCAUCUAGAAUGUCAUUGUAUGCUCUAGAGAUUUCCCUUCACUGGAACUAAGGGGCGCAGCCCAAACCAUGAAAAACAGCCCCAGACCAUUAUUCCUCCUCCACCAAACUUUACAGUUGGCACUAUGCAUUUGGGCAGGUGGCGUUCUCCUGGCAUCCGCCAAACCCAGAUUCGUCCUUUGGACUGCCUGAUGGUGAAGUGUGAUUCAUCACUCCAGAGAACGCGUUCCACUGGAAGUUUGGAACUUAGUAGUGAGUGUUCCAACCGAAGACAGAUGAUUUUUACACGUUAGGCGCUUCAGCACUCUGCAGUCCCAUUCUGUGAGCUUGUGUGGCCUACCACUUCGCGGCUGAACCGUUGUUGCUCCUAGACGUUUCCACUUCACAAUAACAGCACUUACAGUUGACCGGGGCAGUUCUAGCAGGGCAGAAAUUUGACAAACUGACCUGUUGGAAAGGUGGCAUCCUAUGACGGUGCCACGUUGAAAGUCACUGAGCUCUUCUGUAAGGCCAUUUUACUGCCAAUGUUUAUCGAUGGCGAUUGCACCUGUCAUCAAUGAGUAUGGCUGAAAUAGCAGAAUCCACUAAUUUUAUACUUUUGUAUAUUUAGUGUAAAUAAAAAGGAACCAUUUGAAAGUUUCAGAAAGUUCUUUGGAUAUGAGUGUUGGUAAACAUACUCUUUUUUCUUGUCGUUAGUGUUGAACUUCCCUACUCAAGAUAGGUCCAUAUAUGGUGUGGAGUGGACUCUUAAUGCUACUUUUUGGUCUACACCUUAGAUCACCUUCGAAAGCAUUAUGUGCGUCUCUGCUUGUGUGUAAGUAUGUAUAUAGUACACACCAGCACUUUCACUAAUGAAGUCAAGAUUUUAGAGCACUAUAGGGCUUGGAAAUAUCUGCUAAUCACAAAUGGUAUGCACCAUUAAAUCACAAAUACCGAGAGUGUGGACUGUAGACAAUCAAAAAUAUCAAAACAUUACAUAAAAAAUGUAAUGAAUAAAAGACCAGCUGCUUGGCCCUGGUUGAGGAUGCAGGUUGCUCUUCCUCAGGGUCUACACACUACAGCCAGUUACAAUCACUUAUGGGAACAACUCCAGACUAUUUGUUUGUCUGUCUGCUUUCCUGCCUUUCAGUCAGUCUAUUAGCACUUGUUGUCUCUGCAGGUAUUCUCUCUCCAGAGGUACUGUGUCAUCUCCAGAAGAGGGAGCUAAGUCACAGAUGGGGUUCAGCAUCACCUAACAAGCUGUAUGUUACUAACACCACUAUAUGACACAGAGUAAACCAUUUGCACAUAAUAUAUAACACAUGAUGUCUCAGGCUUGGCAGGUAAAGAUGGUGAACCAUAGUGAGGUUCAGUGUAAUUAUGAGUGGUGUAAGUACCAGAGGUCAGGGUUCAAAUGCUUUGGCAAAGACAGCUGGAUGGGUAAUUACAGACCCCCUGUGUUGUCAAGUCUCAACUCGUUUCCUAACUUAGCCUGUGAUGAGAGUCCACAUGGAUGAGUUAAAAGUAUGUUCUGUUCAGCCUGGGAAAAUCCCCUGCUCAUCAUGUUUGUUCUGUGGUGAAGAACACCAACUCCUUUUUGGUCUCUUUGAUUCAGACACGUUGUACACUUGUCAGCUCUCUGGUGGUGAUAGAACAGGUGGAAGGCUAUGUGUGUGCGUGGGUGCAUGGUGGAAAGGUGUGUGUGUGUGCGCGUGAGGAUGCGCGUGUGCGUGACAAGCCUCCAAGCCUCUCAUGUACCAGCUCCGCCCCCUGCCGUGCAGCCAUGGCUCACAGUAAAGACGUCGCUCGGCAACAAAGAUCAGGAAAAACAACAUGAAACAAUUUAAGAACUAUGUCAGAGAGAAAAGAGAAGAGGGAGUGAGAGAUUAUCUAAUUUCCUUCUGCUUGUCAUGCAAUUGUAAUGUAUUUCCCCCUUUUGUCCUGUAGAUGACAGCAGUGAGGAGUUCAACUGAGUUUAUAAUGGGUCAACAAAGUGCAUUUCAGAUGUGCAGUGCAUACCAUACUAACCCUUAUCUACCCUACCGCUGCCAUAUACAGGAGAUGUUUAAUGAACAUUAUGUCUAGGCUUUAGAAGUUCUCUCUACUGUGCACAAUGUCAUUAUACUGACGAGAAAGGAAAUAUGUACCGCAAUCUGUACUUACCUCUCUCCUUAGGUCUGCAGUAUUCUAACUAUACAAUGAUAUUUUCCUUCCUAUACAUUUCAUCUACCACUCAUAUGUCAAUGACUUUUAGAGAAAUUGUAUAUUCCAAGUAUUUAGAAUAAUAACAUUUCUAUUUAUUAUGUGUUGAAGGUUUUAUUUCAAUGCGGCACCUCCACCAUUGUUGCACUACUGGGCGAGGUUGUUGCCACCCUAACUCAGCUAUACACUGGCAGCUGCAGUUGAGCACCAAGAUGUAGCAGAUAAAGCUGUUCCAGAAAUGCUCUCCAGGUAGCCUCAGAUAGGAGAGCUAUUCUCUCCCUGACACGCCAUGCCCAUCCAGACACACGUCUUGUGUGUGUGUGUGUGUGUGUGUGUGUGUGUGUGUGCGCACGUGUGACCAAAGGCACGUAACGCAUGCCUAGGCAGAGGGCUUCUGACAUCAGGCCAGGCAGUUAGGUCACUGAUGCAGGAUUGGACAUACCCAGAUAGAUAGAGGUCUAUGAAAGUGUUAUAUUUAAUUAUAUUCCCACAGUGGCCUUGUAGUCAGGAAUAGACACGGCACCUGGCAUUCCAACAGCAUAGCUAACAUCCUCUCUGUUCAUUCCUCAAAAGAGAAACUCAAAUAUGUCGGUUAUCUUGUUGUCAUCUGUCAUUUCUGCAUUGACAUCAUCCAAGGGACUUUUAUAUCUUGGCAGGUGGGGCUGGCUACCUGAAAGGUCUGGAUUUCUGACAUUGUUUGAUGUGCUCCAUGGGUAAAGUAACUGUAUUCAGCUAGGGGGAAGGGCUAACUGAAUGCAUGCCAGCUGCUUUUAUGUCAGCAGGUUGUCAGUGGUCAUAACACUAAGCAGCCCAGUUCAACUCAACUCAGAGUCCAGAGUUUCCCUGUUCAGUUCAUGCCGCCAUAGUUAACAUAAAUCCCGAACACUCAAAUUAGUAUGAUAAGUUACAUUUUGUAUGGUUAAUGUAAAAUCGAAAGGAGGUAAAAACAAAAGGAGGGUGGUUGGUCAGGGUGGAUGGGUAGGCUUAUUACGUGAACAUCUAGGAACCCAAAGGUUGCGUCUUCGAAUCUCAUCACUGACAGUUUUAGCAUUUUUGCUAAUUAGCAACUUUAACUACUUAUUACUUUUUAGCUACUUUUCAACUACUUAACACGUUAGCUAACCCUAACCCUAACAAUUUUAGCUAACCCUUCCCCUAACCUUAACCCUAAACCUUAACCCCUAGCCUAGCUAACAUUAGCCAGCUAGCUGACAUUAAGAUUAGCCACCUAGCUAACAUUAGCCACAACAAUGUAAUUCAUAACAUAUCCUACAAAUGGAUGAUGGACAUUCACAAAUUAAUACAUACCAUGCAAAAUGUAACAUAUCAUACUAAAAUGUAGUGUCUCGGAUUUACGUACAGAAUAAUAUUAAAUGCUCCAAGACCAGAUUGGUUCAUGUGGUCAGUACAAAAACCUGGCCCUGAGUAUUGUGUUGUUGCCAAUGUGAAUGAAAGCCGUAGCGGCAGAGAGCAAAUAUAACUACCGGCCAUCUUUCAUCUGUCCACAGAUCUACCCCUUGCUAAUGAGUGGUUAGAGAUGAGGAAGAGAAAUGUCCAAAGUCAAAGGCUGUUAUAAUGAUCUUAGUCUUGGUCUGUCCGCCCUGUGUAUCAACACUUCCCCUGUGUGUCUCAGGUAGGUGAGAGAGAUGCUCUGAGAUGAUACUAAACACUAAACCUGCUCUUCCUCUCUGUGUUGUUUACAUAACCAGCCCCAACCUGUGUGUAGAGGUAUAGAGGAAGAAGAGAGCUCCUCAGCUCAGCUCAGCUCAGCCACUGAGGUGCUGCAUAACUCUGUCAAUAUUUAGGUGUUUCCAGGGCUGCACAGCCAUUGGAGGCAUUACAGAUGUUGGAUCUUAAUUUGAGCUAGUUUGCUACAGCAGGAAAUGUGAAUUAUUAUGUGGAUUAUAAUUAAUGUAAAUUUUUUUAGAGGUUGGUACAUUUUUCGUAGAAAUUACAAACUUCAGAUGCCUUUUUGAACCUCAAAUUCACUACAAGUUUUAUAUUUCCUACAUUACUUAAAAGUUCUCCUGCAACAAGGUGAUCAAAUUAAGAUCCUACAUCUGUAAGUAAAUCACAGGUGUCCAUAACUGCUUGGGUAUGCAGCUGCGUGCAGCAAAUGAGAGAAAGAGUACACACAAGCACACACAGACAGACAUGCUCUCUCUCACGCACACACAGUACACACAAGAGUUCCCGCACGAAACAUAGGCAUGCCACUGAACACCUGACAGGUGCAGGCGUGGUCUGUAGCGAGACACGCUAUCUUGACACGCUAACUCAUUCUUAAAUCUGAGAUACAUGCCUCCGGCUGAAAACAGCACAGCUCGCUCUCUGAAGCUGAAUCCCUCCUCCUCCUCCUCUUGCCACACCCCUUCCAAUAGUACUACUGUCACUCUAUUGAAGGGACUGUAAGCCUGAGACCUACCUGUACAGGUUUAGUGAAUGAGUGGGUCUGUUAUACCUGUACACACUACAUGUAAGUCUAUGUCACCUUGGUCAUCUGUCAUCAUUCGCUGUCUGUGAAUGGCUACACAACAGUUGACUUGACAAUGAUACAGGAAGUAAAAUGUAAUGUUUGAAUAAAGACAAUGUUUCAUGAUAAUUAGGUUGUGUUGGAUGGAGACAGAUGUUGAAGUUGGUUAAUGAAGCCUUUUUAUAACACAGUAGGCUACUUAUUACUUCAUUAAAUAAACUGCUGUAUGACCCC
Molecule: long non-coding RNA, 6272 nt
Organism: Oncorhynchus tshawytscha (Chinook salmon)
Lineage: Eukaryota; Metazoa; Chordata; Actinopteri; Salmoniformes; Salmonidae
Source: Ensembl